UACGUAGGUGGCAAGCGUUGUCCGGAUUUAUUGGGUUUAAAGGGUGCGUAGGCGGUUUUGUAAGUCAGUGGUGAAAUACUCCGGCUUAACUGGAGGGGUGCCAAUGAUACUGCAGAACUUGAGUACAGAUGAGGUAGGCGGAAUUGACGGUGUAGCGGUGAAAUGCAUAGAUAUCGUCAAGAACACCGAUAGCGAAGGCAGCUUACUGGGCUGUAACUGACGCUGAGGCACGAAAGUGUGGGGAUCAAACAGG
Molecule: ribosomal RNA, 253 nt
Filed under: uncultured bacterium
Lineage: Bacteria
Description: partial 16S ribosomal RNA
Rfam family: Bacterial small subunit ribosomal RNA
Source: RNAcentral